UUUAACGGCCACGGUACUAUAACCGCGCGAAGGUAGCGCAAUCACUUGUUUUCUAAUUAGAGACUAGUAUGAACGGUUAAUUGAGGGUGCCACUGUCUCCUAUGACCAACCAAUGAACCUGAUCUCCCAGUACAAAAGCUGGGAUAAAUACAUAAGACGAGAAGACCCUGUGGAGCUUGAAAUACAACAGUAAAAUGCAGCCACAACCUACAAUUGAGGCUCACCCCACUGCUUUUAUACUGCACAUUUUAAGUUGGGGCGACUGCGGAGAAAAAAUAAACCUCCAUGAAACAGGACUAAUCAUCACCACAAGGCGCACAUGCCACGUAGUACUACUCUUCUGACCCAGUACAACUGAUAACCGAACCAAGUUACCCCAGGGAUAACAGCGCCAUCCUCUUUAAGAGCCCCUAUCGCCAAGAGGGUUUACGACCUCGAUGUUGGAUCAGGGCACCCAAGUGGUGAAGCCGCUACUAAUGGUUCGUUUGUUCAACGACUAACGCCCUACGUGAUCUUGUUCAACGACUAACGCCCUACGUGAUCU
This 544-nucleotide ribosomal RNA is filed under the name Rhoptropus barnardi. Its description in RNAcentral is "partial large subunit ribosomal RNA". It matches the Rfam family "Bacterial large subunit ribosomal RNA", at positions 1923 to 2637 of the family's 2925-position model. The record is from RNAcentral. Lineage: Eukaryota; Metazoa; Chordata; Lepidosauria; Squamata; Gekkonidae.